Molecule: long non-coding RNA, 2156 nt
Filed under: Taeniopygia guttata (zebra finch)
Lineage: Eukaryota; Metazoa; Chordata; Aves; Passeriformes; Estrildidae
Description: lncRNA (ENSTGUG00000019316.1)
Source: RNAcentral
UGCUGAUUCAAGGGGAAAGUCCAUACUUUCUGUGAGAGAAUUUCUGGGCACCAAGAAAACAGGGAGCAAGUCCAGGCUGUGGAUUCUCCAUCCCUGGCAGUGUCUAAAGCCACGUUGGAUGGGGUUGGAACCACCUGGGAUAAUGGAAGGUGUCCCUCCCCAUGGCAGGGGGUGGAACAAGAUGGUGUCUUAAUAUCCUUUCCAACCUAAACUAUUCCAUGAUUUUAUGAUUUCCAGUUAGUCCCAAAGGUGUCCACAUAGGAAUGUGGCAGGAUCUGAGGAAGCAGGAGGAUGAGUUUCCUGUAGGAUUGUAUCCCUGUUGGCUUUCAACCCACCCUAAACCCCAGGCAUGGAGACCCUGUUAUCAGUUGUGCUGGUGCCUCCAGCUUAAUUAGGAGUUUCAAUUAUUUUUAUUUUUUAGUUUUAGUCCCCCCAAACCCUUCCCCGAGUUCCUUCUAGGGGGAGAUUCAGGAAAAACAUGUUUGCCUUUGCUGCGGUGUGAGCAACCCCACCACCCCAGAAAGUGCAGGGGGCACUGCGGGAGCCAAAUGCCAAAACCUCUCCUCCAACCCAGAGCUCCUCCAAGGCAGCUGCACCUCCAGGAGCAGCUGGAGCAGAGGCAAGGCCAGAUGAGAUGAUGCCAUAAGGUUUAUUUCAUGUUCCUUCCUCCCUUGAGGGGCAGCGGCUCCAAACGCCUGCAAGGGCUGGACAGCUCCGGGAAGGAUGAAAUGUCCCCAAGAAAUGGCCGAAGGAGGGUGUUUUUCAGGAGCUGGAAACGCUCUGCUGAAAAGGAUGAUAAACCCAGGGGGUGUUGGACACGCACAGAUUUGGCCAAGGGUUUGUUUUUCUCCUGAUGAAUACCGGGAUGAAGCACUGCCCCUUCAGGAAGUGGGGUUUGGCAGGGAUGCAGUGAUGAGAUAUCUCACCCCUUCUCCCUGUGCCUCCAGAGGUCUGUCCUUGCUGUAUCCUUCCCCCACUGCUCUGUGUUGGCUCCAUGUGUAAAGGGUUUGGGAGAGGAGGAUAUCAGGCAGAGGUAUUUUCUGGACCACAAAAGCCAGAAAAAUGACCUAAGGACAGAGAAACAAACAACACAAGCAGCAAACUCAAACAGGAAUCAGGCAGCUAAUGAACCAAGCUCUGCUGAGGUUGCUGCGACUCCACAAAAAAUUGGCAAAAAAGUUGCUCUUCCAAAGCUGCCAGAUUGAAAUAAGAUGCUAUCUCUGCAUAGGAAUUUUUUUUCUUUUUUAAACAUUAGCUCUGCAUCUGCCUUCAGCUAAGGGCUAUAAAUAGAUUUAUACCUCUCUCUGUGUAUAUAUAUGAUGUUUUAUAUAGGUGUGAGUGCCCAGUAAGUGUCUGCAUGUGAGCAUGUGUAUAAAAUAUGCACAGGGGCUGGAUGGAGCCAUCCAUCUAUCAAGUUAUUGGCCUGUCUUGUGCUCAUUCGGGAGAGGGUUUAAAAGGAAUUGCCUAAAUACAUAAUACAUGCUGGCUUUUUUUCCUUUUUAAAAGACAAGUCAAGUCAAAUGCUAUGAUAUAAAUUUUUAAUACCCCUAUGACCUGAUUUUUUUCCCAUCUUGUGUGAGGAAGUUAACAAUAUGAAAUGUCUUUCUGUUGUCUCUAAUCAUGGGCUGAUUUGAUAAGCUGUAAUUAUUAUUCAUGUUCGAGAUCUGCAGCUAGGGAGAUGCGGGAGGUGUGGGGACCAUUGGGAUGUUUAGGUUUAUUAUUAUUUAUUACUACUAUGAAUAAAAGGAUAAUGAUUUCAGAGAUUCUGCCAAGUAGUUCAGGCUGCAAAUUUAACUCAUUUAAAAACCGUUGCAAUCCAUUUGCAUCGAUGAGAGCCUCUUCAGUAGGUUCUUUGGUUCCUUACUGCAUUGGGUUGGAAAGCCAGAAAGAAUGGAAGGAAUUAUUUCUGUAGGCCCUACCAAAACAGACUGUGUUUGAUAUUUGACCUUGGGCAUCCCCCUGCCAUCCUUCUCACCUUGUCUGGGCCCCUUUUGCAAUCCCAGCUCAUGAAUUGAAAUCAAGCACGGGGCACGGGUUUGGACAUAAGGGUGUGGGGACAAGUUCUCCUGCACAUCCUCCACAUACAAAAUGGGAUUUAGCUUGGAGGAAGGAAGGGAAGAGCACUGUGCAGAGAGCUUUGCUGCUUUCAGACCCAG